Molecule: transfer RNA, 71 nt
Filed under: Bos taurus (domestic cattle)
Lineage: Eukaryota; Metazoa; Chordata; Mammalia; Artiodactyla; Bovidae
Also listed under: 2 other names
Rfam family: tRNA
About the family: Transfer RNA (tRNA) molecules are approximately 80 nucleotides in length. Their secondary structure includes four short double-helical elements and three loops (D, anti-codon, and T loops).
Source: Rfam by way of RNAcentral
UCCCAGGUGGCUCAGUGGUAAAGAAUCUGCCUGCAAUGCAGGAGACCUGAGUUCAGUUCCUGGGUUGGGAA